CUUCACUAUAUGCCAUCCUUUGUUUUCUCCAUUGAAGGGUACUUCCACCAUUGCCAUAAAGCUGUUCCUUAUGCAAAUAACUUCUAAAAUUGAAGCCACCCUUUUCUUCUAAACUCAUUAUCUCCCCUGCCUUUCUUCUACAAACACUCUUAUUUUCUCCCUCUCUUCCUUUUCUGGUACUACAAAUUAAAACUCUCUCCUCUCCCACUUGUCUACUACUUUCACUAUGCCUUCAAGACUCACUGACGCCUUUAGAGCCCACCCUGUCCAUCUCCAUCACAAGCAUCUUGACUUUACCUCUCUCCAAGAACUACCUGACUCCUACAAAUGGACUCAACUCGACGACCAUGCUCACUACCCUUCUGGCGGUGCCGAAUCCGUUCCGGUUAUCGAUCUUUCUGACCCCAAUGCUUUUAAAAAGAUAGGCCAUGCAUGCAAAACCUGGGGUGUGUUUCAAGUCACAAACCAUGGUUUUCCAUCUACUCUUCUUGAUAACACUGAGAAAGCUAGCAAGAGUCUUUUCUGUUUACCUAUACAGCAAAAGCUGAAAGCAGCUAGAUCACCUGAUGGAGUUUCAGGCUAUGGUAUAGCAAGAAUUUCUUCAUUCUUCUCAAAGCUCAUGUGGUCUGAAGGAUUCACCGUAGUUGGAUCACCAGUAGAGCAUUUUCGCCAACUUUGGCCUCAAGAUUACACUCAAUUCUGGUAUACUUGGAUAUGCUCAUGCACGUGUAAUUAAAAGCUCAUUUGUAUCAUCUUCCAUUUCUUUCAUUUUUUUUUUACAAAAAUUAAAAAAAAUCCCAUUUUCUUUCACCAAUGCAAUUAGCGAAAGGAUAACAAUGAAAGUCAUGGGCCCACAGGGGGGGGGGAUUUGGGGUAGUGAUGAAAUCAACGAAAGAUAUCCAAUGUUUACUGUUUGUUUUGUUUUGUAUCCAUAAUAAUAGCAUCUUUACUACUAUUCAUGCAGUGUCUUGAUUUUUUUUUUCUUUUUCCUCAUAAACUUUCUUCUGAUUUUCGAUUUCUUUUUCUUGUUCUUUGCAGUGAUAUAAUUGAAGAAUACCAGAUGGAGAUGCAAAAGUUGGCUGCAAGGUUGAUGUGGUUAAUGUUGGGCUCUCUCGGCAUAACCAAAGAAGACGUCAAAUGGGCUGGCCCAAAAGGCGACUUCGAAGGGGCUUCCGGUGCCUUACAAUUCAAUUACUACCCAGCUUGCCCAGAUCCGGAUCGAGCCAUGGGUCUUGCUGCUCAUACUGACUCAAAUCUACUCACCAUCCUCCACCAGAACAGUACUAGUGGGUUGCAAGUUCUAAGAGAGGGAACCGGGUGGGUCACCGUUCCUCCGAUUCCUGGUGGGCUAGUAAUCAAUGUAGGAGACCUUCUUCACAUCUUAUCAAAUGGGUUGUACCCGAGUGUUCUCCACCGAGCAGUGGUUAACCGGACCAAACACCGGUUGUCCAUGGCUUAUCUCUACGGGCCGCCAUCAAGUGUUAAAAUUUCACCCUUAUCAAAACUAGUAAGCCCAAGUCAACCACCUCUGUACCGGCCAGUCACUUGGAAUGAGUACCUUGGCACUAAAGCUAAGCACUUCAACAAAGCACUAUCUUCUGUUAGGGUAUGUGCUCCUCUAAAUGGGUUAGUUGAUGUAAAUGACCAUAGUAAUAGGGUAAAAGUAGGGUAGGGAUUAAUAAUUAAUCUCUUGUUGUAAUUCAUCCAAUUUUGUCUUCUUGUUUUAAUUCCUUUUCCAAUAUUUUGAUUGGCUGGCCAUGCCAUGUUAUGGAGAUUCUAAUUGAUUGGAGUAUCAUAUAUUUUUGGGUUAUUAUUAAUUAUCAAAUCACACAUGGGG
Molecule: unclassified non-coding RNA, 1837 nt
Filed under: Hevea brasiliensis (rubber tree)
Lineage: Eukaryota; Viridiplantae; Streptophyta; Magnoliopsida; Malpighiales; Euphorbiaceae
Source: RNAcentral